GGGGCUGUGGCUCAAUGGUAGAGCACUCACGUGGCACGCGUGAGGCACUGUGUUCAAUUCUCAGCACCA
This 69-nucleotide transfer RNA is filed under the name Ictidomys tridecemlineatus (thirteen-lined ground squirrel). Its description in RNAcentral is "Spermophilus tridecemlineatus (thirteen-lined ground squirrel) tRNA". It matches the Rfam family "tRNA". Rfam says of the family: Transfer RNA (tRNA) molecules are approximately 80 nucleotides in length. Their secondary structure includes four short double-helical elements and three loops (D, anti-codon, and T loops). The record is from Rfam by way of RNAcentral. Lineage: Eukaryota; Metazoa; Chordata; Mammalia; Rodentia; Sciuridae.